Molecule: non-coding RNA, 1225 nt
Organism: Ciona intestinalis (vase tunicate)
Lineage: Eukaryota; Metazoa; Chordata; Ascidiacea; Phlebobranchia; Cionidae
Source: RefSeq, a predicted model, not a curated record
UGAGUUGUGAGAAUACAGCUUUAUAAUUUUUUGAAUGUUCAUUGUUUACUGUAUACCAAACGGUGCGAGAAAAAACGAAAAGUUGUCCCACCUUGCUAUAGGAAUUUGACUUCAAGCAGAAAUUAAAAAUGGAAUUAAAAAGUUCGUACCAAGAUAUCGAAAUACCAAAACGAAACUUUGUAAAGUAUAUUUUGGAAACAAUUGAAGAAUAUGGAAGUUCAGCGGCUUGGAUUGACGACGACAACGAUGGAAAAGUUUAUUCAUUUACUACGAUUCGUGAAUCGGUUUUAAAAUGCAGCGACUCGUUUCACAAAGAUGGCGUUCGUCGUGGUGACGUGAUUGUUGUGAUGGGAAAGAACAAACCAGAGCAAAGAAUUCUUAUACUUGCUGCUAUGUAUUGCGGGGCGGUGGUGUUCCCUUGUAAUUAUCUGUCUUCAGCAGAAGAACUGCGACGACGGUUCAAAAUACAGAAACCAGAUGUAUUCAUUGUCGAUACAUGGUGCUUUGAAAUACUGAAUGACGUCAGAGGGGAAGUACCCGACAAUAAGAUAUACGUCGUAGGUGAAUCAAGAAAGCACAAGACGUAUGAACAAUUACUUGACAAUGGAUCACUUGACAAAGCUUCGAGAAUAUCUACCAGCGCAGAAGAUGCAAUUAUCAUGCUAGCUUGUUCUAGUGGAACUACUGGCCCACCGAAGAUAACUCAAAUCAACAGUUAUUCUGUUGAAGCUAGUUUGGCAAUGCUAAAAUUAUCGUACAAACCGUCCCGGUCAAACGUCAUGUACUCAAUGGGGUCAAUGUAUCACAUCAGUAUGUUGUAUAACAUACCUGAGUAUCUUAUUCAAGGUUCCACCUUUCUCUUCACUCACAACCCUACCGCUCAUUCAAUGUUAGCUGCCAUUGAAAAAUACAAGGUAACAAGCAUAUUUGGGAUACCCUCGAUACUAGUUGACGUCAUCAACAGUGACGUAGCAAACGAUUAUGACCUCACAACCUUGAAUUACAUCUCAGUAUCUGGUGCUCCCUUUCGCGAAAGAAUUGAUUUCACAGUUUGAAAACAAACGUUUCAAAAGCUUCCAUUAUUGAUGAAUAUGGAAUGACAGAAGCAUAUGUUCUAACGGUUGCAAACCAAGCUCUGUUAGUGGAUGGCUCGCAGGGGUUGGUUGCUCCUAACACUAAGUUGAAGGUGGUGGAUUGCGAUACCGGGAAUAAUCUGCGACCAGGA